UACGGAGGGUGCAAGCGUUGUCCGGAUUUAUUGGGUUUAAAGGGUGCGUAGGCGGCGCGGUAAGUCGGGUGUGAAAUCUCGGAGCUUAACUCCGAAACUGCAUUCGAUACUGCCGUGCUUGAGGACUGGAGAGGAGACUGGAAUUUACGGUGUAGCGGUGAAAUGCGUAGAUAUCGUAAGGAAGACCAGUGGCGAAGGCGGGUCUCUGGACAGUUCCUGACGCUGAGGCACGAAGGUCAGGGGAGCAAACGGG
Molecule: ribosomal RNA, 253 nt
Filed under: uncultured bacterium
Lineage: Bacteria
Description: partial 16S ribosomal RNA
Rfam family: Bacterial small subunit ribosomal RNA
Source: RNAcentral